CCUCCAGAUGAGAUGAAUUUCUCCCUGGAUGUGUUUGCUUCUCCCAGCUGCCUAUAAUGGGAAGCAGUGAAAAUAGCUGAGAGUUUAGAAACUAACUUUCUGAGAUGUGAGUGAGAUAGGUCCCACCCUGGUCUAAAGAAGAGUUCCUCCAUGACUCACAAAUACCUGAGCUAAAUUUUGUGGGAAAAAGGAGUGUGUUCUCAUGAGCUUCUUACAGGUGUUGGUAAUGGAGCUACCAUUGGCUGAGUUCAUAUGGGUUAUGUUCAUCGUGCAAGAGACUCUUCCUGGCAAGAAGUCAUUAAUUCAGCCAGAAUAAAGGCAAAAAAGAGGUGGUACACAGGGGAAGAACCAUCUCUCUUGUUGGAGAUUCAGGCUUGUUUAGAGUUCUUUGUGUGACUACACAUGAAAAUAUAAAACACUUUUCAGUUUGGAACUGUGUGCAAGUAGGAGUCUUCUGACAGGGGCAAUCUUCCAUUCCUAUCCAAAUGCAAAACACAAAUGUUGGAAGAAUCACCUGGCAAGAAUCUUCUACAAAGUUGGACUGAAUUUAAAGGGUGUAAAUGGACGUGCUUAUGGCUCUUCUGAGAAGAACAAUGAGAGUUUAAAAGAUCUUGAAACAACUGUGGAAGAAUUAGUGAAAACAGAAUGAUGGAUUUGUUCAUCUGGGACACAGCAAACCUGCACAGCAGAUCUGUGACAAUAGCCUGCAUGAACACACACAGCUCCAACAGGAGCUUAAAGCCAUUCCUUAUGACUGAAGCAGAGGAAGCGCUUGGGCUAGAAGUUCUUGGCUCACAUCUCAGCAGUAUCUUCAAGAGACUGAGAUGGUUUUCCCUCUUUGUCAGCCUGUUUGGGAAGAAGCAUUUCCAACAGUGAGACACAUCUGGAGAGCUGGGUCUGGUUCUGGGCUCCACAGAACAUGGACAUACUGGAGAGAGGCCAAAGAAGGGCCAUGAAGACAGUGAAGGGCCUGAAGCAUCUGACACACAAAGAGAAGCUAAGAGAGCUGAGCCUGUUCAGCAUGGAGAAGAAAAGGCUCAAGGGGAUCUUAACACUGUGCAUAAAUACCUCAUGGGAGGCAUUAAGAAUGAUGUUUUUUUUUCAGUGGUGCCCAGGGAUAGCACAGACAAUGAGCACAAACUGAAAUAUGGGAAGUGUAAGAAAAAAGGGGUUUUUUUUACUGUGAGGAUGGUAAGAUUUUGAAAUUGUUUGUCUAGAUGGAUUGUGGAGUCUCUGUCCUUGGAGGUACCCAAAACCUGAAUGCACGUGGCCCUAUGCAAACCUGUUCUAGCUCACCCUGCUUGAGCAGGGGGGUUGGAUGACCCUCUGAUUCCUCCUCUGGAGGCUUCUGUAUGGACUGGCAACAAUGAACGCUGUUUUGCCUCCUGGCACAUUUUUAAUAUUCCAUAAUAAAUAAUGUGAAAUAUAGUUUUAAAAAUA
Long non-coding RNA from Passer domesticus (house sparrow), 1440 nucleotides. RefSeq lists it as uncharacterized. The record is from RefSeq and is a predicted model, not a curated record. The transcript has 4 exons. NCBI's taxonomy places the organism in Eukaryota, Metazoa, Chordata, Aves, Passeriformes, Passeridae.